RNAcentral lists this ribosomal RNA (158 nucleotides) under Fusarium circinatum. RNAcentral's name for it is "5.8S ribosomal RNA". It matches the Rfam family "5.8S ribosomal RNA". From Rfam's summary of the family: 5.8S ribosomal RNA (5.8S rRNA) is a component of the large subunit of the eukaryotic ribosome. It is transcribed by RNA polymerase I as part of the 45S precursor that also contains 18S and 28S rRNA. The record is from RNAcentral. Lineage: Eukaryota; Fungi; Ascomycota; Sordariomycetes; Hypocreales; Nectriaceae.
AAACUUUCAACAACGGAUCUCUUGGUUCUGGCAUCGAUGAAGAACGCACCAAAAUGCGAUAAGUAAUGUGAAUUGCAGAAUUCAGUGAAUCAUCGAAUCUUUGAACGCACAUUGCGCCCGCCAGUAUUCUGGCGGGCAUGCCUGUUCGAGCGUCAUUU